This 478-nucleotide ribosomal RNA is filed under the name uncultured bacterium. Its description in RNAcentral is "partial 16S ribosomal RNA". It matches the Rfam family "Bacterial small subunit ribosomal RNA", at positions 28 to 507 of the family's 1533-position model. The record is from RNAcentral.
GACGAGCGCUGGCGGCGUGCUUAACACAUGCAAGUCGAACGUGAUUUUUGUGGAAAUUCUUUCGGGAAUGGAAAUGAAAUGAAAGUGGCGAACGGGUGAGUAACACGUGAGCAACCUACCUUACACAGGGGGAUAGCCGUUGGAAACGACGAUUAAUACCGCAUGAGACCACAGAAUCGCAUGAUAUAGGGGUCAAAGAUUUAUCGGUGUAAGAAGGGCUCGCGUCUGAUUAGCUAGUUGGAAGGGUAAAGGCCUACCAAGGCGACGAUCGGUAGCCGGUCUGAGAGGAUGAACGGCCACAUUGGAACUGAGACACGGUCCAAACUCCUACGGGAGGCAGCAGUGGGGAAUAUUGCACAAUGGGGGGAACCCUGAUGCAGCGACGCCGCGUGAGCGAAGAAGGUUUUCGAAUCGUAAAGCUCUGUCCUAUGAGAAGAUAAUGACGGUAUCAUAGGAGGAAGCCCCGGCUAAAUACGUG